This 1753-nucleotide small RNA is filed under the name Pan troglodytes (chimpanzee). RNAcentral's name for it is "processed transcript". The record is from RNAcentral. Lineage: Eukaryota; Metazoa; Chordata; Mammalia; Primates; Hominidae.
AUCAAUCCAGCACUGUCUAGAGAUUAGGAGCUGGUGAUGCAAGUGCCUGUGGGGAAACCAAUACAUAGCGCCGAUUAUAACUGAUAAGCUCAGCCUUCUUGUGGGAGUCAUGGCCGGCUUCAACAUGGGGGGCGACCUCAGGGAGCCUGCCGCCAGCAUUCCCCUGGGCUCCCUGGCAGCUGUUGGCAUCUCGUGGUUUCUGUACAUCGUCUUCGUCUUCCUCCUGGGCGCCAUCUGCACUCGAGAGGCCCUUCGCUAUGACUUCCUCAUAGCGGAAAAGGUAUCCCUCGUGGGCUUCCUGUUCCUUUUGGGCUUAUACAUCUCGUCCCUGGCUUCCUGUAUGGGAGGACUUUAUGGAGCUCCCCGCAUCCUGCAGUGCAUUGCCCAGGAGAAAGUGAUCCCUGCACUUGCCUGUCUGGGACAAGGGAAGGGGCCAAACAAAACACCCGUGGCUGCCAUCUGCCUGACCAGCUUGGUGACCAUGGCCUUUGUUUUUGUGGGUCAAGUGAACGUUCUGGCCCCCAUCGUCACCAUCAACUUCAUGCUGACAUACAUCGCAGUGGACUACUCUUACUUCUCCCUGUCCAUGUGUUCCUGCAGCCUGACCCCGGUGCCUGAGCCGGUGCUCAGGGAGGGCCCGGAAGGCCUCCACUGCUCUGAGCACCUGCUCUUAGAGAAAGCUCCCAGUUACGGCUCUGAGGGACCUGCCCAAAGAGUCUUGGAGGGCACGCUACUGGAAUUCACCAAGGACAUGGAUCAGCUCCUCCAGCUAACCAGGAAGCUUGAGAGUAGCCAGCCCAGGCAAGGAGAGGGUAACAGGACCCCAGAAAGUCAGAAGAGGAAAAGCAAGAAGGCCACCAAGGAGACCCUACAAGAUAGCUUCCUCUUGGACCUCAAAUCCCCUCCUUCUUUCCCUGUUGAGAUCUCUGACAGGUUGCCCGCUGCCUCCUGGGAGGGGCAGGAGUCCUGCUGGAACAAGCAGACUUCCAGGAGCGAAGGGACUCAGCCUGAGGGAACAUAUGGAGAGCAACUUGUUCCUGAGCUGUGCAACAAAUCAGAGUCCAGUGGAGAAGAUUUCUUCCUGAAGUCCAGGCUCCAAGAACAAGAUGUCUGGAGAAGAUCCACUUCUUUCUAUACCCACAUGUGCAACCCCUGGGUCUCCCUGUUGGGGGCUGUUGGGUCCCUUCUCAUCAUGUUUGUGAUACAGUGGGUGUAUACCCUGGUUAACAUGGGUGUUGCUGCCAUUGUGUAUUUCUACAUUGGCCGGGCCAGUCCAGGGCUUCACCUUGGAUCAGCCUCCAACUUCAGCUUUUUCCGGUGGAUGAGGUCUCUCUUGCUCCCCUCCUGCAGGAGCUUGCGGUCCCCUCAGGAGCAGAUCAUCUUGGCGCCGUCCCUGGCUAAGGUUGACAUGGAGAUGACUCAGCUCACCCAGGAGAAUGCAGACUUCGCCACUCGGGAUCACUACCACCACUCGUCCCUCAUGAGCCGGGAGCAGCUGAUGCCUCACUACUAGAUGCAGUGCUGGGACCUUCCUCUUUUGGAGCUGUCCCAUGCACAGUAGACCCAAGCCCAGGACCUUCAUGGAGCUGCUUCUCCAACCUGAGAAACUCAAGACCCAUCCUCCCGCUGUCACUUUGGACAAUGGAAAUCUACAUUUUCUUUUCCCAUUUUUUUUUUUUUUGAGACAGAGUCUCGCCCUGUCACCCAGGCUGGAGUCCAGUGGCACAAUCUUGGCUCACUGCAACCUCUGCUU